This 1343-nucleotide ribosomal RNA is filed under the name uncultured bacterium. RNAcentral's name for it is "16S ribosomal RNA". It matches the Rfam family "Bacterial small subunit ribosomal RNA", at positions 28 to 1378 of the family's 1533-position model. The record is from RNAcentral.
GACGAACGCUGGCUGCGUGCUUAACACAUGCAAGUCGAACGGAAAGGCCCUGCUUUUGUGGGGUGCUCGAGUGGCGAACGGGUGAGUAACACGUGAGUAACCUGCCCUUGACUUUGGGAUAACUUCAGGAAACUGGGGCUAAUACCGGAUAGGAGCUCCUGCUGCAUGGUGGGGGUUGGAAAGUUUCGGCGGUUGGGGAUGGACUCGCGGCUUAUCAGCUUGUUGGUGGGGUAGUGGCUUACCAAGGCUUUGACGGGUAGCCGGCCUGAGAGGGUGACCGGCCACAUUGGGACUGAGAUACGGCCCAGACUCCUACGGGAGGCAGCAGUGGGGAAUAUUGCACAAUGGGCGGAAGCCUGAUGCAGCAACGCCGCGUGCGGGAUGACGGCCUUCGGGUUGUAAACCGCUUUCGCCCGUGACGAAGCGUGAGUGACGGUAAUGGGUAAAGAAGCACCGGCUAACUACGUGCCAGCAGCCGCGGUGAUACGUAGGGUGCGAGCGUUGUCCGGAUUUAUUGGGCGUAAAGGGCUCGUAGGUGGUUGAUCGCGUCGGAAGUGUAAUCUUGGGGCUUAACCCUGAGCGUGCUUUCGAUACGGGUUGACUUGAGGAAGGUAGGGGAGAAUGGAAUUCCUGGUGGAGCGGUGGAAUGCGCAGAUAUCAGGAGGAACACCAGUGGCGAAGGCGGUUCUCUGGGCCUUUCCUGACGCUGAGGAGCGAAAGCGUGGGGAGCGAACAGGCUUAGAUACCCUGGUAGUCCACGCUGUAAACGGUGGGUACUAGGUGUGGGGUCCAUUCCACGGGUUCCGUGCCGUAGCUAACGCUUUAAGUACCCCGCCUGGGGAGUACGGCCGCAAGGCUAAAACUCAAAGGAAUUGACGGGGCCCCGCACAAGCGGCGGAGCAUGCGGAUUAAUUCGAUGCAACGCGUAGAACCUUACCUGGGUUUGACAUGGAUCGGGAGUGCUCAGAGAUGGGUGUGCCUCUUUUGGGGUCGGUUCACAGGUGGUGCAUGGCUGUCGUCAGCUCGUGUCGUGAGAUGUUGGGUUAAGUCCCGCAACGAGCGCAACCCUUGUUCACUGUUGCCAGCACGUUAUGGUGGGGACUCAGUGGAGACCGCCGGGGUCAACUCGGAGGAAGGUGGGGAUGACGUCAAGUCAUCAUGCCCCUUAUGUCCAGGGCUUCACGCAUGCUACAAUGGCUGGUACAGAGAGUGGCGAGCCUGUGAGGGUGAGCGAAUCUCGGAAAGCCGGUCUCAGUUCGGAUUGGGGUCUGCAACUCGACCUCAUGAAGUCGGAGUCGCUAGUAAUCGCAGAUCAGCAACGCUGCGGUGAAUACGUUCCCGGG